UCCUACGGGAGGCAGCAGUGGGGGAUAUUGCACAAUGGGGGGAACCCUGAUGCAGCGACGCCGCGUGAAGGAAGAAGUAUCUCGGUAUGUAAACUUCUAUCAGCAGGGAAGAAAAUGACGGUACCUGACUAAGAAGCCCCGGCUAACUACGUGCCAGCAGCCGCGGUAAUACGUAGGGGGCAAGCGUUAUCCGGAUUUACUGGGUGUAAAGGGAGCGUAGGCGGCAGGGCAAGUCAGAAGUGAAAGCCCGGGGCUCAACUCCGGGACUGCUUUUGAAACUGGACAGCUUGAUUGCAGGAGAGGCG
This 305-nucleotide ribosomal RNA is filed under the name uncultured bacterium. RNAcentral describes it as "bacterial SSU rRNA". It matches the Rfam family "Bacterial small subunit ribosomal RNA", at positions 337 to 659 of the family's 1533-position model. The record is from RNAcentral.